UGGGGAAUUUUGGACAAUGGGCGAAAGCCUGAUCCAGCAAUGCCGCGUGUGUGAAGAAGGCCUUCGGGUUGUAAAGCACUUUUGUCCGGAAAGAAAUCCUUGGCUCUAAUACAGUCGGGGGAUGACGGUACCGGAAGAAUAAGCACCGGCUAACUACGUGCCAGCAGCCGCGGUAAUACGUAGGGUGCAAGCGUUAAUCGGAAUUACUGGGCGUAAAGCGUGCGCAGGCGGUUUGCUAAGACCGAUGUGAAAUCCCCGGGCUCAACCUGGGAACUGCAUUGGUGACUGGCAGGCUAGAGUAUGGCAGAGGGGGGUAGAAUUCCACGUGUAGCAGUGAAAUGCGUAGAGAUGUGGAGGAAUACCGAUGGCGAAGGCAGCCCCCUGGGCCAAAUACUGACGCUCAUGCACGAAAGCGUGGGGAGCAAACAGGAUUAGAUACCCUGGUAGUCCACGCCCUAAACGAUGUCAACUAGUUGUUGGGGAUUCAUUUCCUUAGUAACGUAGCUAACGCGUGAAGUUGACCGCCUGGGGAGUACGGCCGCAAGAUUAAAACUCAAAUGAAUUGACGGGGUCAUAGCUGUUUCCU
Molecule: ribosomal RNA, 586 nt
Filed under: uncultured bacterium
Lineage: Bacteria
Description: partial 16S ribosomal RNA
Rfam family: Bacterial small subunit ribosomal RNA
Source: RNAcentral